This is a non-coding RNA of Paramuricea clavata, 328 nucleotides long. Lineage: Eukaryota; Metazoa; Cnidaria; Anthozoa; Malacalcyonacea; Plexauridae. The record is from the annotation of a GenBank genome assembly.
GAUUGGUAACCAAUCAGUCCGUAAGUACCUGACUUUGUUCGCAGUCAUCUGGCGUACGGUUGUCAAGUGUGGGCACCCCAGACAGUCAGCAAAAUUCUAACCAUCGAACGUGUUCAGCGCCGUGCCACCAAGUUCACCCUAUCUCUGCCAUACCAAACAGACAUCUCGUAUAAAGAAAAAUUGCAGAUCCUUGGCAUCAUCCCUCUAUGUUACUGGUAUGAAUAUUUAGACAUCAUUUAUGUCUUUAAAAGUCUCAUAAAUGACUCUGACAGUAAUAUCUCGGUCAAAGUUUCAACAUGAGAAACAAGAAGAGCAAGUAAUGGACUUU